This 251-nucleotide unclassified non-coding RNA is filed under the name Penicillium aurantiogriseum. Its description in RNAcentral is "partial internal transcribed spacer region". The stretch from base 1 to 46 matches the Rfam family "Eukaryotic small subunit ribosomal RNA", at positions 1786 to 1831 of the family's 1831-position model. The record is from RNAcentral. RNAcentral also lists the same sequence under 1 other name. Lineage: Eukaryota; Fungi; Ascomycota; Eurotiomycetes; Eurotiales; Aspergillaceae.
AAGUCGUAACAAGGUUUCCGUAGGUGAACCUGCGGAAGGAUCAUUACCGAGUGAGGGCCCUCUGGGUCCAACCUCCCACCCGUGUUUAUUUUACCUUGUUGCUUCGGCGGGCCCGCCUUUACUGGCCGCCGGGGGGCUCACGCCCCCGGGCCCGCGCCCGCCGAAGACACCCUCGAACUCUGUCUGAAGAUUGAAGUCUGAGUGAAAAUAUAAAUUAUUUAAAACUUUCAACAACGGAUCUCUUGGUUCCG